AGAGUUUGAUCAUGGCUCAGAGCGAACGCUGGCGGCAGGCCUAAAACAUGCAAGUCGAACGCCGUAGCAAUACGGAGUGGCAGACGGGUGAGUAACACGUGGGAACGUGCCUUUUGGUUCGGAACAACUGAGGGAAACUUCAGCUAAUACCGGAUAAGCCCUUACGGGGAAAGAUUUAUCGCCAGAAGAUCGGCCCGCGUCUGAUUAGCUAGUUGGUGAGGUAACGGCUCACCAAGGCUACGAUCAGUAGCUGGUCUGAGAGGAUGAUCAGCCACACUGGGACUGAGACACGGCCCAGACUCCUACGGGAGGCAGCAGUUAGGAAUCUUGGACAAUGGGCGCAAGCCUGAUCCAGCCAUGCCGCGUGAGUGAUGAAGGCCUUAGGGUUGUAAAGCUCUUUCAGCGGGGAAGAUAAUGACGGUACCCGCAGAAGAAGCCCCGGCUAACUUCGUGCCAGCAGCCGCGGUAAUACGAGGGGGGCUAGCGUUGCUCGGAAUCACUGGGCGUAAAGCGCACGUAGGCGGCUUUCUAAGUCAGGGGUGAAAUCCUGGAGCUCAACUCCAGAACUGCCUUUGAUACUGGAGAGCUCGAGUCCGGAAGAGGUGAGUGGAACUCCGAGUGUAGAGGUGAAAUUCGUAGAUAUUCGGAAGAACACCAGUGGCGAAGGCGGCUCACUGGUCCGGUACUGACGCUGAUGUGCGAAAGCGUGGGGAGCAAACAGGAUUAGAUACCCUAGUAGUCC
RNAcentral lists this ribosomal RNA (742 nucleotides) under uncultured bacterium. Its description in RNAcentral is "bacterial SSU rRNA". It matches the Rfam family "Bacterial small subunit ribosomal RNA", at positions 8 to 796 of the family's 1533-position model. The record is from RNAcentral.